GGACAGUACUGACGCUGAGAUGCGAAGCGUGGGGAGCAAACAGGAUUAGAUACCUGGUAGUCCACGCUGUAAACGAUGUCGAUUUGGAGUUUGUUGCCUAGAGUGAUGGGCUCCGAAGCUAACGCGAUAAAUCGACCGCCUGGGGAGUACGGCCGCAAGGUUAAAACUCAAAUGAAUUGACGGGGGCCCGCACAAGCGGUGGAGCAUGUGGUUUAAUUCGAUGCAACGCGAAGAACCUUACCUGGUCUUGACAUCCAUAGAAUUCUGCAGAGAUGUGGGAGUGCCUUCGGGAACUAUGAGACAGGUGCUGCAUGGCUGUCGUCAGCUCGUGUUGUGAAAUGUUGGGUUAAGUCCCGCAACGAGCGCAACCCUUAUUCUUUGUUGCCAGCGAUUUGGUCGGGAACUCAAAGGAGACUGCCGUUGAUAAAGCGGAGGAAGGUGGGGACGACGUCAAGUCAUCAUGGCCCUUACGACCAGGGCUACACACGUGCUACAAUGGCGUAUACAAAGGGAAGCGAAGGUGCGAGCUGGAGCGGAUCUCAUAAAGUACGUCUAAGUUCGGAUUGGAGUCUGCAACUCGACUCCAUGAAGUCGGAAUCGCUAGUAAUCGUAGAUCAGAAUGCUACGGUGAAUACGUUCCCGGGCCUUGUACACACCGCCCGUCACACCAUGGGAGUGGGUUGCACCAGAGGUAGAUAGCUUAACCGCGAGGGGGGCGUUUACCACGGUGUGAUUCAUGACUGGGGUGAAGUCGUAACAAGGUAACCA
RNAcentral lists this ribosomal RNA (768 nucleotides) under uncultured Providencia sp. RNAcentral describes it as "bacterial SSU rRNA". It matches the Rfam family "Bacterial small subunit ribosomal RNA", at positions 732 to 1502 of the family's 1533-position model. Lineage: Bacteria; Pseudomonadati; Pseudomonadota; Gammaproteobacteria; Enterobacterales; Morganellaceae. The record is from RNAcentral.